GAUGAACGCUAGCGGCAGGCCUAAUACAUGCAAGUCGAGGGAGAAUGUUGGAUUCGUCUGACAUGAAACCGGCGCACGGGUGCGUAACACGUAUGCAACCUACCUUUAACUGGGGUAUAGCACAGAGAAAUCUGAAUUAAUCCCCCAUAAGACUACGACAUGGCAUCAUGCUGUAGCUAAAGCUACGGCGGUUAAGGAAGGGCAUGCGGUACAUUAGCUAGUUGGGGAGGUAAUGGCUCACCAAGGCUACGAUGUAUAGGGGGUCUGAGAGGAUGCACCCCCACACUGGUACUGAGCCGCGGACCAGACUCCUCCAGAAGGCAGCAGUAGGGAAUAUUGGUAAAUGGACGCAAGUCUGAACCAGCCAUGCCGCGUGAAGGAUGAGGGCCCUAUGGGUCGUAAAAUUCUUUUAUUAGGGAAGAAAAAACGGGAUGCGUCCUGUACUGACGGUACUUAAUGAAUAAGGAUCGGCUAACUUCGUGCCAGCCGCCGCCGUAA
This 498-nucleotide ribosomal RNA is filed under the name uncultured bacterium. RNAcentral's name for it is "partial 16S ribosomal RNA". It matches the Rfam family "Bacterial small subunit ribosomal RNA", at positions 28 to 523 of the family's 1533-position model. The record is from RNAcentral.